RNAcentral lists this ribosomal RNA (495 nucleotides) under uncultured bacterium. Its description in RNAcentral is "partial 16S ribosomal RNA". It matches the Rfam family "Bacterial small subunit ribosomal RNA", at positions 28 to 507 of the family's 1533-position model. The record is from RNAcentral.
GAUGAACGCUGGCGGCGUGCCUAAUACAUGCAAGUAGAACGCUGAAGGAGGAGCUUGCUCUUCUGGAUGAGUUGCGAACGGGUGAGUAACGCGUAGGUAACCUGCCUGGUAGCGGGGGAUAACUAUUGGAAACGAUAGCUAAUACCGCAUGACAACAGUUAUUGCAUGAUAACUGUUUAAAAGGGGCAACUGCUCCACUACCAGAUGGACCUGCGUUGUAUUAGCUAGUUGGUGAGGUAACGGCUCACCAAGGCGACGAUACAUAGCCGACCUGAGAGGGUGAUCGGCCACACUGGGACUGAGACACGGCCCAGACUCCUAAGGGAGGCAGCAGUAGGGAAUCUUCGGAAAUGGACGGAAGGCUUACCGAGCAACGCCGCGUGAGUGAAGAAGGGUUUCGGAUCGUAAAGCUCUGUUGGAAGAGAAGAACGAGUGUGAGGGUGGAAAGUUCACACUGUGACGGUAUCUUACCAGAAAGCGACGGCUAACUACGUG